UACGGAAGGUGCGAGCGUUAAUCGGAAUAACUGGGCGUAAAGCGCGCGUAGGUGGUUGAGUCAGUCAGAUGUGAAAGCCCCGGGCUUAACCUGGGAACUGCACCUGAUACUGCUUGACUAGAGUACGGUAGAGGGCAGUGGAAUUUCCUGUGUAGCGGUGAAAUGCGUAGAUAUAGGAAGGAACACCAGUGGCGAAGGCGACUGCCUGGACUGAUACUGACACUGAGGUGCGAAAGCGUGGGUAGCAAACAGG
Molecule: unclassified non-coding RNA, 253 nt
Filed under: uncultured Oceanospirillales bacterium
Lineage: Bacteria; Pseudomonadati; Pseudomonadota; Gammaproteobacteria; Oceanospirillales
Description: contains 16S-23S intergenic spacer region
Rfam family: Bacterial small subunit ribosomal RNA
Source: RNAcentral